RNAcentral lists this small RNA (357 nucleotides) under Pantoea agglomerans. RNAcentral's name for it is "cspA thermoregulator". It matches the Rfam family "cspA thermoregulator", at positions 21 to 372 of the family's 428-position model. Lineage: Bacteria; Pseudomonadati; Pseudomonadota; Gammaproteobacteria; Enterobacterales; Erwiniaceae. The record is from RNAcentral.
UAAAGAAGUCUGUAAAGAAGAACGAGUAAAGACGUUGACGUUGAAUACCGCUUCCUUGCCGAACCUUAAUUAGUGCCUCAUGCAGUAAUGUCUCUGGUUUUUCUGUACGACAGCCUUCGGGCUAAAUAAACAUCUAAAGGAAUUUGCAAAAUGGCAAAGAUUAAAGGUCAGGUUAAGUGGUUCAACGAGUCUAAAGGUUUUGGUUUUAUCACCCCUGCUGACGGUAGCAAAGAUGUGUUCGUUCACUUCUCCGCUAUUCAGGGCAAUGGUUUCAAAACCCUGGCUGAAGGCCAGAGCGUUGAGUUCGAAAUUCAGGACGGCCAGAAAGGCCCGGCAGCCGUUAACGUUACGGCUAUC